CCCAGGAAUAUGAUUAAUUCCAUACUUUAUAAGUAAACUUCCCAGCUCCGUAUCCAUCUGCAAAUAUUCAGAGUGAUGUGCUCAAUACAUUCCUUUCUGUUCUACAACCGCAUUUCUUUGUGAAUUUAACCACAUCAGAAAGCACUUCAGAUUUCCAACACAAAUAUUCAAUGCAUUUAAUGUAAGGAAGCUUCCUUUAUUGGAGGUGAUUUGGAACAUUUUGUAUUUUAUAGGUGUAUUUAAGAGGUUAGCAGUAGGGGGGAAUCGUCUGUGGAAAAUCUGUCUACAGCUGAAAUUCUUAGAUGCAGAAGUGUUGCUGAAAUGCCUGAUACAUUUACAUUCUUUUGUUAAGUGGCUUACAGGACUAUCCUCUUAGCUACCAGAUACCCAGAAUUUUUUUUUUAAGGUCAAAUAACAUUUCUCCCUUUUUUCUUAUUUGUUAUUUUCAGGACAAUAUACUUGGACUGGGGUUUUGUGUGCCAUUAGAAGAUUUCCAUUUUUGCUGGCUUUUUUACUUUUUUAAUCCACAAUUUUGUUGUUCUUUUCAAUAAUCUUCUGCAACUUUCUUUCAUCUUUAGUGCAUGCAAAGAAGCCCCUUAUUGGCUAGUACAUUACUGAUAAUGAUUUACAAAUUUUCCCAGAUUAAUUUUCCAUGGGAUUAUUUUUUCCCCAAUAUAACAUAGCUCCAAUUAAAAAAAAAAAGAAUGCCAAAGGUUAAGGCAUUUUAUAAUACAAUUUGGAAAUGAAUUUUUGAAGUAGUUGUGUUUGUAUUUUAAAUUUAGAAUCUGUUUAUACUUCAGCAUCAGAAAAACAAUGUGUAGAAUUUAAAAAUUAGCAGUCUGGUGCUUUCCAGAUAUUGAAAUGUGCCUUCCUAAUGAAGGCAGAAGACUUGCUCACUAGAUUUAUUUUAAAGCAGUGCUUUUAGAUAGUCAUAAAUUUAAAUGGCAGUUUUCAACUGGAUGCUUAUUACUAUUUUAUUUGAUAUUUGCAAGAUACCUGACCGUUUAAUAUUUAUCCUUUAUUUCUCUGAGCUGAUCUAAUUGCGCCUCUCUAUUUUGCAUUUAUUUCUCUUUGCAAACACUACAUUAUUCACUCUCUCCUGUGCUUAUUAAACAGUGCCACCUGCACCAAAUGAAACAAAGCUUCUCCAUCAAUCUAUCCCAGCUAAAGAACCCUGACUAUAUAUUAUAAUUAAUUGAAGCUCAAUUGAACACUUGAAUCUGAACUAGAUACAGUAACCUGAAAAAACAUUAAAAAAUUAGGAUGUACUUUAAAGAAAUCUUUUAAAUGAAAAUGUUCACUCAAAACCGAGAACCUAACCUUGCACCAAGCACUCUUCAUCAGCUCCGCACGGUACCUCAAGUAGCAAUUAGCAGGUCCUUUAAUUAAUUAACUAUUCCCUGUACAUCACAGGGAUUUUUGUGGCACUAACGUCAUCCUCCAUAAGUGAAUACCAAAUCCAGUCAAUAUUUUGUCACUCCAAACCCUUCUCUGGACUACCUGAAUGCCACCGGCGGGCUCUGCAGCCCUUCCCAGCGCAGGAGCAGAUUAGGUGGAAGAUGAGGGCAGCCUCCUUUAAAGCUCCAUCUAACAGAAGAGAAAGAGAAAGAGAAGAGAUGCAGAGAGAGCCCCAGGAUGUGGAAAGUCAUGAAAAUACCUACCCUGGAGACAGUAUUCCCAUAGGAUCCUUUUCAUACAAAUUCCAACUUGCCUAAUGCCCUUAAUGAAUGAAAUAAAAAGAGAAUUCAGAAAGGCCCA
This is a non-coding RNA of Zonotrichia albicollis (white-throated sparrow), 1758 nucleotides long. Lineage: Eukaryota; Metazoa; Chordata; Aves; Passeriformes; Passerellidae. The record is from RefSeq and is a predicted model, not a curated record.